RNAcentral lists this ribosomal RNA (355 nucleotides) under uncultured bacterium. RNAcentral describes it as "bacterial SSU rRNA". It matches the Rfam family "Bacterial small subunit ribosomal RNA", at positions 1 to 334 of the family's 1533-position model. The record is from RNAcentral.
GCCAGCCCGCUCAGUCAGUAGUUUGAUCCUGGCUACGAGGACGAACGCUGGCGGCGUGCUUAACACAUGCAAGUCGAACGGAAAGGCCCCCACCAUUUUUGGUGGGGGUGCUCGAGUGGCGAACGGGUGAGUAACACGUGGGUGAUCUGCCCUGUACUUCGGGAUAAGCUUGGGAAACUGGGUCUAAUACCGGAUAGGACCAUGGGUUUAGUGUCUCAUGGUGGAAAGAUUAUUAUUUUGGUGCAGGAUGAGCUCGCGGCCUAUCAGCUUGUUGGUGGGUAAUGCCUACCAAGGCGUCGACGGGUAGCCGGCCUGAGAGGGUGGACGGCCACAUUGGGACUGAGAUACGGCCCAG